GUUUGCAGUGGUGACACGGUACAACAGUGAGUGAAAUUUGCAAUCAUAAUCACGUAGGGAGUGUUCAGUGGGGAAACGUGAGUGAGGAAGAUAGGAUAUUUAUAUUAUUUGAAUUAUUACUUGAUAACAUGUCAAUGUGUGUGUGUGUGUGUGUGUGUGUGUGUUGGUUGAGGAGCAGAGACAGAUGGCGCUUGAGAGGGUGAGCGGCUGGCUGAGUGUUUUGGCCGGCGCUGCUCAGUCUUGACCGACGCAAUCUGGUGAUAAGUGUUUCCGUGUUCCCGGCUGCUUCUCCCUGUACCAAGCACCGCCACGCAACAACAGAGACCCAUGAGUACGUAAGGAUGGAGAGAUUAGGACACCACACGGAGGGGGGUGAAGGAGCCUUGAAGAUGCCUGAAGGAGCGACAGGAAGAAGGAAGGCCUGGAGAUGAAGGAAAUGCAGAAAAUUCCUCUAAUACUGAACGCUUCUCUGCUCAGACCAUCCUUUACUGAAUAUUUGGACCGAGGCUUCAAGAUACGAGUGAACCAGGUGACCCUCCAGAACAGCGCCAUCCUGCCUACUUGUGGUGUGCCAGCCCUGAUCGUCCCCCUCCCUUCCUCCUCCUCCUCCUCCUACAGCAAAAAAAGAGACGUUUAAUUAGCUGGUGGAAAGAACUCAAGGAAGAAGAAAAAGAUGAGAACAAGAAUGGAAGGAGGAGGAGGAAGAAAUUAGACCAGUCUCUCUUUUCUUACAAAAACCACAAGAUUAUAACUCUUCUUCCUCUUCCUCCUUCUCCUCCAGAGACGAGGUACUUCUCCAAGCCAUAGAAAACGGACUUCACGAUCUUAACCAGCAUCUCCCGCCUAAUUUCCGUUUUCUGUUUGAUGGGGAACUCUCGUAUUCCAGUUAAAUUGGCGCGCGCGCGCGCGAGAGAGAGAGAGAGAGAGAGAGAGAGAGAGAGAGAGAGAGAGCUAAUGUUAUAAGUUUAGAUUUUAUAUAUUUAUUUUUAUAGUUAUUUAAAAAUUAUAUUAUUGUUGU
Long non-coding RNA from Scylla paramamosain (green mud crab), 1018 nucleotides. RefSeq lists it as uncharacterized. The transcript is spliced from 4 exons. NCBI's taxonomy places the organism in Eukaryota, Metazoa, Arthropoda, Malacostraca, Decapoda, Portunidae. The record is from RefSeq and is a predicted model, not a curated record.